RNAcentral lists this transfer RNA (86 nucleotides) under Anaerobranca californiensis DSM 14826. RNAcentral's name for it is "tRNA_Leu_CAA". It matches the Rfam family "tRNA". From Rfam's summary of the family: Transfer RNA (tRNA) molecules are approximately 80 nucleotides in length. The record is from RNAcentral. Lineage: Bacteria; Bacillati; Bacillota; Clostridia; Eubacteriales; Proteinivoracaceae.
GCCGAAGUGGCGGAAUUGGCAGACGCACUUGACUCAAAAUCAAGGGGCCUCAAACCGUGCCGGUUCGAGUCCGGCCUUCGGCACCA